Molecule: ribosomal RNA, 454 nt
Filed under: uncultured bacterium
Lineage: Bacteria
Description: bacterial SSU rRNA
Rfam family: Bacterial small subunit ribosomal RNA
Source: RNAcentral
AGAGUUUGAUCCUGGCUCAGAACGAACGCUGGCGGCAUGCCUAACACAUGCAAGUCGAACGAAGCCUUCGGGCUUAGUGGCGCACGGGUGCGUAACGCGUGGGAAUCUGCCCUUAGGUACGGAAUAACUCAGGGAAACUUGUGCUAAUACCGUAUGAUGUCGAGAGGACCAAAGAUUUAUCGCCUAGGGAUGAGCCCGCGUAGGAUUAGCUAGUUGGUGGGGUAAAGGCCUACCAAGGCGACGAUCCUUAGCUGGUCUGAGAGGAUGAUCAGCCACACUGGGACUGAGACACGGCCCAGACUCCUACGGGAGGCAGCAGUGGGGAAUAUUGGACAAUGGGCGAAAGCCUGAUCCAGCAAUGCCGCGUGAGUGAUGAAGGCCUUAGGGUUGUAAAGCUCUUUUACCAGGGAUGAUAAUGACAGUACCUGGAGAAUAAGCUCCGGCUAACUCCGUG